RNAcentral lists this ribosomal RNA (459 nucleotides) under uncultured bacterium. Its description in RNAcentral is "partial 16S ribosomal RNA". It matches the Rfam family "Bacterial small subunit ribosomal RNA", at positions 338 to 795 of the family's 1533-position model. The record is from RNAcentral.
CCUACGGGUGGCAGCAGUGAGGAAUAUUGGUCAAUGGGCGGGAGCCUGAACCAGCCAAGCCGCGUGAGGGAAGAAGGUCCAGCGUAUCGUAAACCUCUUUUGUCAGGGAACAAAGGCGGGGACUCGUCCCCUGAUGCGUGUACCUUACGAACAAGCAUCGGCUAACUCCGGGCCAGCAGCCGCGGUAAUACGGAGGAUGCGAGCGUUAUCCGGAUUUAUGGGGUUUAAAGGGUGCGCAGGGGGCCUGUUAAGUCAGCGGGAAAAGCCCGGGGCUAAACCCCGGCUAGCCGUUGAAACUGGCGGGCUGGAGUGGGAGAGAGGGAGGCAGAAUGCGCGGUGUAGCGGUGAAAUGCUUAGAGAUCGCGCAGAACACCGAUUGCGAAGGCAGCGUACCGGAUGCAGACUGACGCUGAGGUACGAAAGCGUGGGUAUCGAACAGGAUUAGAUACCCUUGUAGUC